Molecule: RNase P RNA, 353 nt
Filed under: human gut metagenome
Description: Bacterial RNase P class A
Rfam family: Bacterial RNase P class A
About the family: Ribonuclease P (RNase P) is a ubiquitous endoribonuclease, found in archaea, bacteria and eukarya as well as chloroplasts and mitochondria.
Source: RNAcentral
UAUUAUACGGUCGCGGGGUGCGAGAGCACCGUGAGGAAAGUCCGAGCAGCGUAGGACAGGAUGCCUGAUAACGUCAGGUGAAGGUGACUUCAAGGACAGUGCAACAGAAAUAAACCGCAACGAUUUUUUCGCGCAAGCGGAGGUCGUUGUAAGGGUGGAAAGGCGAGGUAAGGGCUCACCGACGUCGCGGUAACGCGGCGUGCCAUGUAAACCCCAUCCGCUGCAAGAUUGGGCGAUCGUCGUACAGGGUUGUCCGCCCGACGACCGCCGUGAAUAUCGCUUGAAUUUGUCGGCGACGGCAAAUCUAGAUAAAUGACCGUACACGACAGAACUCGGCUUACAGAUAGACUCGU